RNAcentral lists this ribosomal RNA (433 nucleotides) under uncultured bacterium. RNAcentral describes it as "partial 16S ribosomal RNA". It matches the Rfam family "Bacterial small subunit ribosomal RNA", at positions 29 to 507 of the family's 1533-position model. The record is from RNAcentral.
AACGAACGCUGGCGGCAUGCCUAACACAUGCCAGUCGAACGAGACCUUCGGGUCUAGUGGCGCACGGGUGCGUAACGCGUGGGAACCUGCCCUUAGGUUCGGAAUAACUCCCCGAAAGGGGUGCUAAUACCGGAUAAUGUCUUCGGACCAAAGAUUUAUCGCCUUUGGAUGGGCCCGCGUUGGAUUAGCUAGUUGGUAGGGUAAAAGCCUACCAAGGCGACGAUCCAUAGCUGGUCUGAGAGGAUGAUCAGCCACACUGGGACUGAGACCCGGCCCAGACUCCUACGGGAGGCAGCAGUGGGGAAUAUUGGACAAUGGGCGAAAGCCUGAUCCAGCAAUGCCGCGUGAGUGAUGAAGGCCUUAGGGUUGUAAAGCUCUUUUACCCGGGAUGAUAAUGACAGUACCGGGAGAAUAAGCUCCGGCUAACUCCGUG